AGCUCGUAGCGGUUCUGACGUGCAAUCGAUCGUCAAUUUGGGUAUAGGGGCGAAAGACUAAUCGAACCAUCUAGUAGCUGGUUCCCUCCGAAGUUUCCCUCAGGAUAGCUGGAGCCCGAACUAUGUGUGUAGUUUUAUCAGGUAAAGCGAAUGAUUAGAGGUAUUGGGGUUGAAAUGACCUCAACCUAUUCUCAAACUUUAAAUGGGUAAGAGGUGUAGCUUGCUUAAGUGAAGUUACACGAUUGAUUUCUCGUGGAAUACAGGGGCUCUUAGUGGGCCAUUUUUGGUAAGCAGAACUGGCGAUGCGGGAUGAACCGAACGCUGGGUUAAGGUGCCCAAGUCAACGCUCAUGAGAUCCCAUGAAAGGUGUUGGUUGAUACAGACAGCAGGACGGUGGCCAUGGAAGUCGGAAUCCGCUAAGGAGUGUGUAACAACUCACCUGCCGAAUCAACUAGCCCUGAAAAUGGAUGGCGCUCAAGCGUUGCACCUAUCCCCGGCCGCCGUGUGGAGAUGGCCAGUGCUGGUGACACGGCGUGUAGGAGGGCGCAGGGCUGUGUGUUGGUAUGCUGUGCAGGCUGGUGCGUGAGCCCGGCUGAAGCUGGCCCUGGUGCAGAUCUUGGUGGUAGUAGCAAUUAUUCAAAUGAGAACUUUGAAGGCCGAAGUGGAGAAGGGUUCCACGUGAACAGCAUUUGGACGUGGGUGAGUCGGUCCUAAGAGAUGGGCGAAAGCCUGGUUAGUAAGGGUGCAGAUGUGCUGCCUCUCAGGGGGUAGUAUGUCCGGUUGGUUCUUCGGGGCCACGGUGGCACCAGCUCUCGAAAGGGUAUCGGGUUAAUAUUCCCGAACCAGACACCUGGAUGCUGCUCGUGGUGGAGCACGGCAACGUAUAUGUGUGUAUACUCGGCGACGCUUGCGAUAGCCCUGGGAAGAGUUGUCUUUUCUUCUUAACCGUACCAACCGUGUGCACAGCCCUGGAAGCAGUUUACCUUGAGAGAGGGCUGGAGGUCGGGUAAAGCGCUGCACUUAUUGCAGCGUCCAGUGCGCUGUCGAGAGCCCCUGAAAAGCUGAGUCAGGACUGGACCAUGUUAGUCUCGUGUCUGGCCGU
Molecule: ribosomal RNA, 1102 nt
Filed under: Saccocalyx pedunculatus
Lineage: Eukaryota; Metazoa; Porifera; Hexactinellida; Lyssacinosida; Euplectellidae
Description: eukaryotic LSU rRNA
Rfam family: Eukaryotic large subunit ribosomal RNA
Source: RNAcentral